UACAGAGGUCUCAAGCGUUGUUCGGAUUCAUUGGGCGUAAAGGGUGUGUAGGUGGCGCGCUAAGUCGGGUGUGAAAUUUCGGAGCUUAACUCCGAAACUGCAUUCGAUACUGGCGUGCUUGAGGACUGGAGAGGAGACUGGAAUUUACGGUGUAGCAGUGAAAUGCGUAGAUAUCGUAAGGAAUACCAGUGGCGAAGGCGGGUCUCUGGACAGUUCCUGACACUGAGACACGAAGGCCAGGGGAGCAAACGGG
RNAcentral lists this ribosomal RNA (253 nucleotides) under uncultured bacterium. Its description in RNAcentral is "partial 16S ribosomal RNA". It matches the Rfam family "Bacterial small subunit ribosomal RNA", at positions 524 to 776 of the family's 1533-position model. The record is from RNAcentral.